Plectropomus leopardus (leopard coralgrouper) is the source of this 588-nucleotide non-coding RNA. The record is from RefSeq and is a predicted model, not a curated record. Lineage: Eukaryota; Metazoa; Chordata; Actinopteri; Perciformes; Serranidae.
UCUUGCCAUAUUGCUCCUUGCCUUUUCUCCAUGUUUUUGAGAGAAAUCAGAACAAUUUGCUUAAAGGUUUAAAUGCGUAUGGAGGGUGUCGCAGCUCAAGAAAACUUGGCAAAAUUACUUAAUUGACAUUGUGUGUUCUCAUUUCACAUUUCUCCUCCAGCACCACUUGUCCUCCCCGCUCCAACACAGCUGAUUCGAAUGAUCAGCUGACCAUUUAGUUCAGCUGUGUUGCAGCAGGGAGAGAUCAAAAACAAACAGGACAAGUUCGACUCAAGAAGCGUUUUGGGAAAUCCACCUCGUUUGUGGCCUUAUUUUCUUGUGAAUUGUGGAAAACCCUGAUGCAGACUGAGAGAGGCAUAAUGGAUGAGUUAACAGUCUGCUUGUGUCAUGCAUUGUCAAACCGAGAGCUGUGAACUGACUCGCUGCCAGUAAGAAGUCGGCCGAGGAUAAGGCGUCACCUGAGGGCAAAAGACAGAUCCUCGUGGACCGGGCCCAGCAAACAGUCUGCAGACAAAUAAAACAGGCGGAUUGAGACUUGUGUUACAUAAUAUUUUAUUUCCAAAAUGUCCCUUCCAUAUUUUGGUUCGA